Ficedula albicollis (Collared flycatcher) is the source of this 682-nucleotide long non-coding RNA. RefSeq lists it as uncharacterized. NCBI's taxonomy places the organism in Eukaryota, Metazoa, Chordata, Aves, Passeriformes, Muscicapidae. The transcript has 3 exons. The record is from RefSeq and is a predicted model, not a curated record.
UGGUGAUACGGAGAGGUCAGAAAGCUGCUGGUUGUGCUGUGAGAACCUAAGGGACAUGUGGCCGUGUAAGGGCCAGAUAAGGAGAAACCAUCCUCCCCUUUGCCAGCUCCCAAAUUUUCUUUCUGCCCGAGGAAAACAAAAGUGCCUGAAGACCAAUAAUAUACUGGGUGUUUGAAGAAGACUUGUCCAUGGAAGACUGUGCUGUACCCUACUUAAAAUAGAAGCAUCUCAAACAUCUUUUGGAAGAUUCUGAUUAUUAGGAUAUUGAAACUGAUGGACUCAGAUCACAUCUGGUUUUAUUUUUGCCUCUUUGGUAGAAAAUAAGGAAACAACUUACUUAAUCAACACACCCAAAAGAAGAAGCUUUUGUGAAAGGAACAAGAGGAGAAAAAUGCUGGGGUGAGGAGGAAUGAGGAGGUAAAAUCUGAAGAAGCCCAUUAAAACUGAGGCAUCCAGUCAGAGCAGAUAUUAAUACAGGAGGCAUCUGCAUGCUAGGUCUACUCUCAUUUCCAUGUGCAAAUGAUACAGAUGCUAAGCACAUGUCUGAAAGCCUUUAAAUAUGUCUUCUCAGAUGCUGAACUGAGGUCUAUGAUCAGCCUGUGAUGACAAUAGCACUGAACGAAAAUCCAGUUGCAAUCCUGCUUAAACUCAAUGGAAAAGAAUCUGCAUUUAACCACAGUGC